GGAGAGGUGUCCGAGUGGUCGAAGGUGCCUGACUCGAAAUCAGGUGUGGCGAGAGUCACCGUGGGUUCGAAUCCCACCCUCUCCG
Molecule: transfer RNA, 85 nt
Filed under: Myxococcales bacterium
Lineage: Bacteria; Pseudomonadati; Myxococcota; Myxococcia; Myxococcales
Description: tRNA-Ser
Rfam family: tRNA
About the family: Transfer RNA (tRNA) molecules are approximately 80 nucleotides in length. Their secondary structure includes four short double-helical elements and three loops (D, anti-codon, and T loops).
Source: RNAcentral